This is a long non-coding RNA of Notothenia coriiceps (black rockcod), 688 nucleotides long. RefSeq lists it as uncharacterized. The record is from RefSeq and is a predicted model, not a curated record. NCBI's taxonomy places the organism in Eukaryota, Metazoa, Chordata, Actinopteri, Perciformes, Nototheniidae. The transcript is spliced from 3 exons.
GGACCUUUAUAACCACCACUUUCACUUAAUUGGGGAGGAAGGGGUGAGAGAAAUAGAGGAGGGAGAGUGUUGAUAAGGGAGAGGUGAGGAGUCAGUAAAAGGGGGCAGACAGAAAUGGAGAAGGCACCUGCUGCUUUGAGCGUUUGUCUGUUGGCUCACAGCAGAGAAAGAGAGGAGAGAGGAGGCUGAGAAAAGUGAAGGAGAGGACUGAUUGAUGAGUGAGGAAGUGAAAGAUGAGACAGAGAGGAAGACGCUCAAAGAACAGGACGUGUGUCUGGGAUACAUUUGAUGUUUCAACAGGAAUACUCUUUAUGAUUUAAACCACCAUCUGCAGUCUUCAAACAUAUGUGGAGAGAGACUUUUGGAAGCAAGCUUGAAAAACUAUCGAUGUAUGCUUAUGUUGACCCAGGAGAACUACAGGAGGAGUAAGGGUCCGCAGGAGUGACACCCAUUGAAGAGGUUUCUGGAUCGGUGAUGUCACGUGAACGGCUCCCUCUCAUUGGUUCAUCCGGGAGUAGAACAACAGCGAAGCCCCCUCUCUCCUCCCCGGCUCUCCCGCGCCCCCAUCAGGCUAAUCACAGAAAACGCAGCCAGCAGCAGACAUCCUCCUCUUCCUCUCACCCUCAUCCGGGGCCUUCCUCCAUCCUCGUCUCUGACACCACCAUGACGCCUUGGGGAGGCCUGGCUC